This is a non-coding RNA of Triticum aestivum (bread wheat), 135 nucleotides long. Lineage: Eukaryota; Viridiplantae; Streptophyta; Magnoliopsida; Poales; Poaceae. The record is from Rfam.
AAAGUACUCUCUCCGUCUCAAAUUUUUUGUCUUAGAUUUAUCUAGAUACGGAUGUAUAUAGCACUAAAACGUGAAUAGAUACAUCCGUAUAUAGACAAAUCUCACACAAAAAUUUUGGAACGAAGGGAGUAGUAU